UGAGGAAUAUUGGUCAAUGGGCGAGAGCCUGAACCAGCCAAGUAGCGUGAAGGAUGAAGGUCCUAUGGAUUGUAAACUUCUUUUAUAGUAGAAUAAAGUGAGCCACGUGUGGUUUUUUGUAUGUAUACUAUGAAUAAGGAUCGGCUAACUCCGUGCCAGCAGCCGCGGUAAUACGGAGGAUCCGAGCGUUAUCCGGAUUUAUUGGGUUUAAAGGGUGCGUAGGCGGAAUAAUAAGUCAGUUGUGAAAGUUUGCGGCUCAACCGUAAAAUUGCAGUUGAUACUGGUAUUCUUGAGUGUACAUAAGGUAGGCGGAAUUCGUGGUGUAGCGGUGAAAUGCUUAGAUAUCACGAAGAACUCCAAUUGCGAAGGCAGCUUACCGGGGUACAACUGACGCUGAGGCACGAAAGUGUGGGUAUCAAACA
RNAcentral lists this ribosomal RNA (422 nucleotides) under uncultured prokaryote. RNAcentral describes it as "bacterial SSU rRNA". It matches the Rfam family "Bacterial small subunit ribosomal RNA", at positions 355 to 774 of the family's 1533-position model. The record is from RNAcentral.